This 892-nucleotide long non-coding RNA is filed under the name Homo sapiens (human). RNAcentral's name for it is "HSALNT0336113". Lineage: Eukaryota; Metazoa; Chordata; Mammalia; Primates; Hominidae. The record is from RNAcentral.
GGGCUGCUUUUCAUUAAAAGGAAAACCUUACCAAGGACUUCCAUACCCUCACUAUCUGCCUAAGUAAUUGCAUCUUCACUCCUGUAUCACAGCUUUGUGAGCCACGUCAGAAUAAAUUCUGACAAGACCUGGGUCUGAGGACGCUGCUUAGUGUAUCUCUCCAGGUUUUGACAGCCCAGCCCUUUGCCUGCAUGAAAAUAAACGGGAUGUGCGCACUCUGCUUUAACUUCUUCCAAGUGCCCCAUAAACUGGCCACAGCACAGGGCGUGAGCGUGAAGGAAACUCACCACCUCAGUCACUUCCUCCACCACUUCAUAUCUGCUAGGAGCCUGACUCGCCAAGUCCACCAAGUCUUCUGAAGAGGAUUCCAUAGAAAGUGGGCACAUCUACCUUCCCUGUUAACUUGAAUAAACUGUUCCAUCUGCAUCAGAUAUGCUGGGUGAAUCUACCAACUGCUGGCUGCUUGAAACCUUUCAAGAACAUCUAAAUUUGAUGAACUCAACCUCCUAUCAACUGGAACUGUUACUCUGUCACUUGGUGCAUGACUACAAAGAUAGUUCUGACUUCAUGUUUAUAAUAAUGAUCCCCAAUGCUGCAAGAUCCUGAAGUGCCUUUGAGUCAUCACCAAUAACUUACUCAUCAGAAUUGCUUUCGUGUUGAGUAGAUUUUGCUGAUAUCUGAUUGUUCAGCAAGUACAAACUUAAUUAAGCUUCUAUUUUAGUACUAGAUACAUGCUCUAAGAUCAAGACAGAAUUCCCUAUAAACAGAAUAUUUGCUAGAUCAUAUCCCAUUAUUUGAGCAAACUGGAUCCAGAAUAUUUUCUUGUUUGUUUGUAAAGUAGUUCAUGUGUACAUUUGUGUGUGUGUUUGUAAAUCCUUCCUUUCUUGGUGAA